Long non-coding RNA from Oncorhynchus kisutch (coho salmon), 2088 nucleotides. RefSeq lists it as uncharacterized. The transcript has 4 exons. The record is from RefSeq and is a predicted model, not a curated record. NCBI's taxonomy places the organism in Eukaryota, Metazoa, Chordata, Actinopteri, Salmoniformes, Salmonidae.
UGGUUUCUGAAGGAAAAAAAUGAAUUGGUGGUGGGGAGUUAAGAUAAUCAGAAAUACUAUGAAACAUCCCCACUUUUAGCACACAUUUGCAAGCAGGCAAAGUAACCUAUGUGUGCUGAGGCAUGUGUGAUCACUCAACUUUGACAGGACCGACAAAAAAAGACAUUCUCACAUGCAAACAAAAGAUAGCAUGUGCCUAACUUGCACCGUUAUGCAAUUAUUAGGAGACUAGAUACAAAUAUCUAAUCCUGGCUACUAAUGUUCUAGCAUUAAUGUAUUGAGGCAAGCAGAUCAGAAAUGUCAAGGUAGUACCCAAGCAUAUACCAUGUGUAUAUGUGACACACACAUUUGUAUGGUCAUAUUUUUGAUGUUUUUAUUUGUUAUUUUAUGGAGCCAUCCCUUAAUGGAGCCAUUUUCUACACAUCCCAGGUAUUUACAUUUGAUAUAUGUACAUGAUUACUGCCGCUAGGGGGAGCUGUGACGUCAAUGGAGUGCAUUAGUGAGAUUGAGGUCUUGGAGAUUUCUUCUUCAAUCUUGGAGAAUUACUAUUUCUGAAAACUAAUGUUUCUCCGUCUCAUAAUUUAACCCUAUUAAUUCAGGUAUGUAAUGUGCAAAAGUGCAAUAUGACUCAAAAUAUUGAGGCAACAUGUUUAAUUACAAAGUUCAUGAGUUUGGUGAUAUGACGGCAAUUGAAGGGAGUUUUAACCGAGUGAAAAACUGGUUGGUAUUUUCCCCAUUGUAUCUAAUGGAGUUAGGUUUGGUUGCUAAUGGUUUACAUACAUGUAAGAGAAAGGAUUAAGAUGGCGUCCAAACUUUGUACUUUUUUCAACAAUGUUUUAAAUCCAAUUUGUUUUAUUUUCUAUGAACAAAGGUUCUGUUUACUUUAGGUAAUAUAUGUAAAUAUGUGAUGUCACAAUAAAAUGUGUUAGUGUUAAUAUUUGUACGAAAAUUGCGUUUAACAGUUCGCAAGCUUGAUGCUAACCAAAUGUAGCUUGGCUAAGCACUAGUAAACUCUAGUCAAUGCCAGCUUACAUGUUAGUGGUUAAUAAUGUAAUGGUUGUAGCACUGUUUCGCAUAGGCGUCCAAUAAUUAAGAGUUUUUUUCUGAAAUUGACACUGAUAGUACAGUGAGUUAUAUAACAUGUGUAUGGUGACUCUUAAGUUUGGAUGAUCGGACCAACGUGACUGCCAUGGACAAGUCCCAGGGUACCAGGAAUGGUGGGAGGACAAUCUGAAGGUAAUUAUCUUUGCACACAACAGCAGCGUCCAGGCCGCUAGAGUACUCACCCUAUCGCCUGCUGUACUAACGGGAGCUGCAGCUGUUUACUGAGGUAAACAAUGCAAUUGUAUAUAAAAUAAUUGCCUAUACUGUAGUAUAUACAAUUUGUGAUUGACUUAGUGUUUUUCUAUUGCUAUUUUUGUAUAACGUACUUGAGAUCACUGAUACUCCACCUGAUGUGGUGGAAGUUGUCGAACCAGAUCAGAAUGCCUUCCAGGACCACCAUCAGGCACAGACUGAGAAGGAUGUGAAGAUUUUUGACCAGGGUGAGACAGAACAUGGACAAGGCUCAGGAAAAACAGAAGGACAGCCACCGGAGGAGAAUCAAGGGGACCAAGUGCUUCGACAGCUGGUCGAAUGACUUGGCUUGGAAGAAGGACGAAAGGAAGGCAAGACCUGGGAAAGCUUGGUGCUCUUUCGCCCCUAGCUGGGGUCACCAUCCGUUAAGGGAACGUACCUUACCUCCCUUAUCAACCCCACUGACAUAAAACAUCUGACAAGCUAAGAAAGAGCAAGAAAACUAUCAUACUGGGCACAUAAUGUGAGAUGCACAGAUCCGCUUAAAACACUGGCACUGCAAACACUCAGAACAAAGAGGGCAGCAGCGCCUGGACUUUGCAGUUUCCCCUCUUCGGGUCCACCUUCCAAGACUGACUACCUGUUGAAAACAAACAAGUGACAGGCAGAACCUCCCAUCCACAUAGCACCCACCUCCUCUCUGUUAAACACUACAGAAUUCAGUAUUUUAGUCUGAUUGCCAUACUAUUGCUCGGCCUCCAACCGCAAGGCACUUCAGAUGGUAGUGCGUAC